RNAcentral lists this long non-coding RNA (2718 nucleotides) under Sus scrofa (pig). RNAcentral's name for it is "lncRNA (ENSSSCG00050043705.1)". Lineage: Eukaryota; Metazoa; Chordata; Mammalia; Artiodactyla; Suidae. The record is from RNAcentral.
GGGCCAGACGAGUGCAAGGCUGGGCGCCAGGCUUUGGGACAGGGUGGGCACGAGUACAGAGUUACAGACAUGAGACCUCUGCUCUCAGAAUGGCCUGGGAGGAGUUUCAUGGCCUGGUGAACAGCAGCGGCCGCUGAUCGGACGCUCCCCCUCUGUCUCUCCCACUCAGGGGACAAUUCAAGCUUUCGAAAUACAAAGAUCGCGUUGUGAAAGUACACCAGCUGGCAGUAACCCUUUUCUGUGUGUGUGUGUCUGUCCAAAGCGGACGGGAGGUCUCCAGCUGCUCCUUCUGUCUGCUCACUGAAGGGACGUCCCUGAGCCGCGUGCUCCCCUUUUGCACUCACUCCUGGAGGACGGGUUCCGCUAGACACCCUCCAGCAUCGCUGACUUUAUAAAGCGGAGAAAACGGAAAACGUGACUUUAUAAUAGACAAACUUUUUUUAAGGGGGUUCCGUGGGGGGCGGGUCAGCCUUUCAUUUUGCUGUGUGCUGUCCAGGUGCCUCUCGGGCAUUCUGCCGUGCUCUCCUCUGCUGUACGAAGGGCAUCGUGACCACGUGUACAAGCCAGAGCCGUGGGCUGAGAGUGACCAGUAUUAUGAAUGUCUGUGCCUCCAGGAAGAGCUUCGUGUUGGAGAGUCCCGGAAUAGCUAUAAAUGCUCUCUUCUAGAUCUGCCGUUCAGUUAUUGGGACAUUUUGUUUAUUUCACCCCCUCUUCCCCCGAGCCCACCACUUUCUGAAAUUGUGUCACCGACGGUGUAUAGGCUCCUGCCUUAUGCCCUCCAGCUCUCCCUCUGGUGGGACACUUUUGAGGCACUGCUGCACUUAGAAUUUUAGUCCAGUGGGCCACACUGGUUUCACGGAGGUGGCUUAGAAGGCAUGAUUAAGCCAGAGUGGAAUCCAGUUUGAUGAGGAGCUAAGUUAUAACAGAGGUUCCAAGUGCAGGGUUUGGAGCUGAGGGUAGUUUCUGAAACCAUUUUCCCAAUGAGCAGGGCCUGUGUGUCCAGCCUGUUGGUGCACGUUCUUGCACGCCCCUCCCUGGGGAAGGGAGGCAAAGCUGGUGGUCGUCAGGUGUUAACACUCAGGACAGGGAGUUCUGUGAUCCUGAAGCUGGGCCAUGUGAGGGACAAGGGACCACGCUGGAUGGCUGGCUGCGCCCGGCUGCGCCUGGCUGCAGUGGUGGGAGAACCUGCUUCCAGCCCUCGUCACAUGGUGUGCGUGUCAGCAGCUGUGUGCUGCUCGGGGAGGCCAGGACAGCAACCUGGCAGGCCCUCAAAGUGACAGGCACACGUCAGAGAAGCUGGGUGACCAGACUCCGGAGGGACUGAUGUCAGAGAGGUCAGCGAGCACCCAGGUUGCAACAGGUACUGGGGACCAGUCCCACUGCAGCCUCCAAGGAGCACUGUCUUACUUGGCUCUUGUGAGCAGAGACCACAGUACCUUAAAUUAAGGCCUCUCCUAAAACCUGUCCUUGCAGACCAGCGGGCCUGAGCCACCUGGUCUCGAGAAAUCGUGUGAGAGGAGCAGGCAUUUCCUUACUGUAUUUAUACUCCUCUCUUCCUACUUUCCAACUACUGAGCACCCCCUGGCUACCCCUGUCUUGGGGUGCUUUUUCCUAAAAGAACAGGGGAGCACAGGAGCCAAAGGGAGGUGCCUCCGUUACAGGUGAAGUUGGAUCGGAUAAGAAGAUCUAGCAGUCAUUUCAGUUCUAGGAAUAUGAAGAAUAAAUUCUACGGCCCAGACAGUUGUGAAGGGCUCAGACAGAUAUAUGAGUGACAUUGGCAAAAAUGGGGAACAAAGGCUGCCUCCUGAGCGUAGACCCCAGGGAGGGCUUCACUUUGGCCUAAACUCAACAUUUGCCACGAAGAUUCCAAAGAGAGCAGCCAUUUGGAUUAGCCCUCCUGGAACGUGUACCGGACAAUUAUUAGUGUGUGUGUGGGUGAGUGGGUGCGUGUGUGUGACGUGUUCCCAAGUGACCGUUACGUCAGGCCGACUGCUUAGGUAUCUUGUCUGUAUUUGUGUUUUUCCUUUUUUUGGGUCUCAUUUGGUGGAAUUUUUUAGUCUCCUGUAUUUUCUAAAGGCGCUUGUGUUUCCCCGCCUUCCUCUUUGUCUUCGCAGUGUUUGAACAUUAUUUUUUCCCAUCAAAAAUAUACCAGCUAGAACAAGGGUUAUUUCUGCUAAGCAGCCUCUUCCCCCCGAGAGCUCUCCAGACACUCGGCCUAACAACUGCCCCUUGGAGACUGAAGAGGCAGUUUCCCCAAACCACCCACUUUCCUCACAGGCUUGCGAGGCCUUUUCAGUUCUUCUUGACUCCGUGGGCCUCCGCAGCGCUGAGACAGGACGUGGUUGCCGUUGUGGUGUCCCCAGUUCUAGAGGCAAAGGGGAGAAGGUGCACCAGGGCCAACCUAGCCAACGUGUUAGGUCGCUGCUGGGAGAUGGGGUGUCACUGUCACUGCAUAGGCGGGCUGUCCCCAGGACCCCUCAGAAAGCGGCCCCCCCUCCUCUCCAGUGCUCUUCUCAUUUAUCCUAAGAUUCGUGUGUGCGUGUGCGUGUGUGUUCCCUGUGACGUUGGCAGUGACGGUAAUUUUCCACCCAGAGAGAAGCUUGUGGUCCACGAUGCUCCAGGAAUGAAUUUCCAAGUAUUGGCCAUUGGAGGAGCAGAGGCUGUGACAAGAUGGUUUAGUGUUGCACUUUCAGAGCAAUUGUCUACUGCAGUAAUAAA